AACCUGGUUGAUCCUGCCAGUAGUCAUACGCUCGUCUCAAAGAUUAAGCCAUGCAUGUGUAAGUUCAAUGAUUUGACCAAAAAACUGCGAAUGGCUCAUUAUAUCAGUCACAGUUUAUUUGAUAGUCCCUCACUACUUGGAUACCCGUAGUAAUUCUAGAGCUAAUACAUGCGUAAACACUCGACCUUUGGAAGAGUGGUAUUUAUUAGAUUGAAGCCAACCCGUUUCGGCGGUGUCCUGGUGAUUCAUAAUAACUUUUCGGAUUGCAUUGCAACAUUUCAUUCAAGUUUCUGCCCUAUCAGCUUUGACGGUAGUG
RNAcentral lists this ribosomal RNA (316 nucleotides) under uncultured marine eukaryote. RNAcentral describes it as "SSU rRNA". It matches the Rfam family "Eukaryotic small subunit ribosomal RNA", at positions 1 to 333 of the family's 1831-position model. The record is from RNAcentral.